CUGGAGGUUGCCGGUCUAGGAUCGAUCCUAACUUAAAAGAAUCAUGAAGACAUCCAUGGGGGCUUCCUUCAUGUUCUUGUGGUUGCAACUGGACUGGGUGAGCCAAGGAGAAAAUGUGGAGCAGCAUCCUUCUGCUUUGAGUGUUCGGGAAGGAGACAGCUCUGCUAUCAACUGUACUUAUACAGACAGUGCUUCAAACUACUUUUUGUGGUAUAAACAAGAACCUGGGCAAGGGCUCCAGCUCAUCAUAGACAUUCGCUCAAAUACGGAGAAACAGCAAAACCAAAGAUUCACCGUUUCAUUGAAUAAAAUGGCCAAGCACGUCUCCCUGCACAUCGCAGCCACCCAGCCUGGAGACUCUGCUGUCUACUUUUGUGUAGCGAGUACACACUGCUCCCCAGGCACCUGCAUCCUGUACUCAAACCUUUGACUGAAGCUGAAGCCUCAGCUCCUUUCUUUUGGCAUAGUAGUAUUUGCUAUACUGUUUGUUUGUAAAUGGAAGCUAACAUACAGACAUUAAAAGCAUAGAAUAAAAAGGAUGAG
Non-coding RNA from Oryctolagus cuniculus (rabbit), 543 nucleotides. NCBI's taxonomy places the organism in Eukaryota, Metazoa, Chordata, Mammalia, Lagomorpha, Leporidae. The record is from the annotation of a RefSeq genome assembly.